RNAcentral lists this unclassified non-coding RNA (341 nucleotides) under soil metagenome. RNAcentral's name for it is "partial contains 5.8S ribosomal RNA, internal transcribed spacer 2, and large subunit ribosomal RNA". The stretch from base 1 to 120 matches the Rfam family "5.8S ribosomal RNA", at positions 35 to 154 of the family's 154-position model. The record is from RNAcentral.
GAUGAAGAACGCAGCGAAAUGCGAUAAGUAAUGUGAAUUGCAGAAUUCAGUGAAUCAUCGAAUCUUUGAACGCACAUUGCGCCCGCCAGCAUUCUGGCGGGCAUGCCUGUUCGAGCGUCAUUUCAACCCUCGAGCCCCCCCGGGGGCCUCGGUGUUGGGGGACGGCACACCAGCCGCCCCCGAAAUGCAGUGGCGACCUCGCCGCAGCCUCCCCUGCGUAGUAGCACACACCUCGCACCGGAGCGCGGAGACGGUCACGCCGUAAAACGCCCAACUUCUUAGAGUUGACCUCGGAUCAGGUAGGAAUACCCGCUGAACUUAAGCAUUCAAUAAGCGGAGGA